AUUGAACGCUGGCGGCAUGCCUUACACAUGCAAGUCGAACGGUAACGGGCCUUCGGGUGCCGACGAGUGGCGAACGGGUGAGUAAUACAUCGGAACGUGCCCGAUCGUGGGGGAUAACGAGGCGAAAGCUUUGCUAAUACCGCAUACGAUCUACGGAUGAAAGCAGGGGACCGCAAGGCCUUGCGCGGACGGAGCGGCCGAUGGCAGAUUAGGUAGUUGGUGGGAUAAAAGCUUACCAAGCCGACGAUCUGUAGCUGGUCUGAGAGGAUGAUCAGCCACACUGGGACUGAGACACGGCCCAGACUCCUACGGGAGGCAGCAGUGGGGAAUUUUGGACAAUGGGCGCAAGCCUGAUCCAGCCAUGCCGCGUGCAGGAUGAAGGCCUUCGGGUUGUAAACUGCCUUUGUACGGAACGAAAAGCCUUCUUUUAAUACAGGAGGGUCAUGACGGUACCGUAAGAAUAAGCACCGGCUAACUACAUG
RNAcentral lists this ribosomal RNA (482 nucleotides) under uncultured bacterium. RNAcentral's name for it is "partial 16S ribosomal RNA". It matches the Rfam family "Bacterial small subunit ribosomal RNA", at positions 30 to 507 of the family's 1533-position model. The record is from RNAcentral.